GUGCUCACUUUGGCAGUACAGAUACUAAAAUUGGAAUGAUACAGAGAUUAGCAUGGCCUCUGAGCAAGGAUGACAUGCAAAUUCAUGAAGUAUUCCAUAUAAAA
This 104-nucleotide small nuclear RNA is filed under the name Colobus angolensis palliatus. The record is from RNAcentral. Lineage: Eukaryota; Metazoa; Chordata; Mammalia; Primates; Cercopithecidae.